GACGAAACUCUGACGUAACACGCCGCGUGAGUGAAGAACGUUUCGUAUCGUAAAACUCUGUUGUUAGGGAAGAACAAGUGCCGUUCGAAUAGGGCGGCGCCUUGACGGUACCUAACCAGAAAGCCACGGCUAACUACGUGCCAGCAGCCGCGGUAAUACGUAGGUGGCAAGCGUUGUCCGGAAUUAUUGGGCGUAAAGCGCGCGCAGGUGGUUUCUUAAGUCUGAUGUGAAAGCCCACGGCUCAACCGUGGAGGGUCAUUGGAAACUGGGGAACUUGAGUGCAGAAGAGGAAAGUGGAAUUCCAAGUGUAGCGGUGAAAUGCGUAGAUAUUUGGAGGAACACCAGUGGCGAAGGCGACUCUCUGGUCUGUAACUGACGCUGAGGCGCGAAAGCGUGGGGAGCGAACAGGAUUAGAUACCCUGGUAGUCCAUGCCGUAAACGAUGAGUGCUACGUGUCAGAGGGUUACCGCCCUUUAGUGCUGCAGCAAACGCAUUAAGCACUCCGCCUGGGGAGUACGGUCG
This 522-nucleotide ribosomal RNA is filed under the name uncultured bacterium. RNAcentral's name for it is "bacterial SSU rRNA". It matches the Rfam family "Bacterial small subunit ribosomal RNA", at positions 374 to 888 of the family's 1533-position model. The record is from RNAcentral.